RNAcentral lists this ribosomal RNA (494 nucleotides) under uncultured bacterium. RNAcentral's name for it is "partial 16S ribosomal RNA". It matches the Rfam family "Bacterial small subunit ribosomal RNA", at positions 28 to 507 of the family's 1533-position model. The record is from RNAcentral.
GACGAACGCUGGCGGCGUGCUUAACACAUGCAAGUCGAACGGAAAGGCCUGCUUUCCCUUGUGGAUUGCGGGUACUCGAGUGGCGAACGGGUGAGUAACACGUGAGUGAUCUGCCCCCAACUUGGGUAUAAGCCUGGGAAACUGGGUCUAAUUCCCGAUAGGACUGCAGGGUGGUGCCUGUGGUGGAAAACGAUUUUCUAGUGGUUGGGGAUGAGCUCGCGGCCUAUCAGCUUGUUGGUGGGGUAAUGGCCUACCAAGGCGGCGACGGGUAGCCGGCCUGAGAGGGUGGACGGCCACAUUGGGACUGAGAUACGGCCCAGACUCCUACGGGAGGCAGCAGUGGGGAAUAGUGCACGAUGGGCGGAAGCCUGAUGCAGCGACGCCGCGUGGGGGAUGACGGCCUUCGGGUGGUAAACUCCUUUCGACCGCGAGGAAGCCACCUGGUUGGAAGGGUGGUGACGGUAGUGGUAGAAGAAGCACCGGCUAACUACGUG